GAACCUUUGGCGCAGCGGUAGCGCGUAUGAUUCCAGAGAGCAGCAAAUGGCCCUUUUCGAGGGCUGUCGCUGCGCAGAUGGUUCCAUAAGGUCGUCCGUUCAAUCCGGGCAAGGUUCA
Non-coding RNA from Pterulicium gracile, 118 nucleotides. The record is from the annotation of a GenBank genome assembly. NCBI's taxonomy places the organism in Eukaryota, Fungi, Basidiomycota, Agaricomycetes, Agaricales, Pterulaceae.